This 468-nucleotide ribosomal RNA is filed under the name uncultured bacterium. RNAcentral's name for it is "partial 16S ribosomal RNA". It matches the Rfam family "Bacterial small subunit ribosomal RNA", at positions 28 to 507 of the family's 1533-position model. The record is from RNAcentral.
GACGAACGCUGGCGGCGUGCUUAACACAUGCAAGUCGAACGGAAAGGCCCUGCUUUUGUGGGGUGCUCGAGUGGCGAACGGGUGAGUCACACGUGAGUAACCUGCCCUUUACUUUGGGAUAACUUCACGUAACUGGGGCUACUACCGGAUAGGAGCUCCUGCUGCAUGGUGGGGGUUGGAAAGUUUAGGCGGUUGGGGAUGGAAUCGCGGCUUAUCAGCUUGUUGGUGGGGUAGUGGCUUACCAAGGCUUCGACGGGUAGCCGGCCUGAGAGGGUGACCGGCCACACUGGAACUGAGAUACGGCCCAGACUCAUACGGGAGGCAGCAGUGGGGAAUAUUGCACAAUGGGAGGAAGCCAGAUGCAGCAACGCCGCGUGCGGGAAGACGGCAUUCGGGUUGGAAACCGCUUUCGCCUGUGACGAAGCGUGAGUGACGGUAAUGGGUAAAGAAGCACCGGCUAACUACGUG